UACGUAGGGUGCGAGCGUUGUCCGGAAUUAUUGGGCGUAAAGAGCUUGUAGGCGGUUUGUCGCGUCUGCUGUGAAAAUCCGGGGCUCAACCCCGGACUUGCAGUGGGUACGGGCAGACUAGAGUGUGGUAGGGGAGACUGGAAUUCCUGGUGUAGCGGUGAAAUGCGCAGAUAUCAGGAGGAACACCGAUGGCGAAGGCGGAUCUCCUGGGGCC
RNAcentral lists this ribosomal RNA (214 nucleotides) under uncultured bacterium. Its description in RNAcentral is "partial 16S ribosomal RNA". It matches the Rfam family "Bacterial small subunit ribosomal RNA", at positions 524 to 735 of the family's 1533-position model. The record is from RNAcentral.